This 518-nucleotide small RNA is filed under the name uncultured Glomus. Its description in RNAcentral is "SSU rRNA". It matches the Rfam family "Eukaryotic small subunit ribosomal RNA", at positions 569 to 1091 of the family's 1831-position model. Lineage: Eukaryota; Fungi; Glomeromycota; Glomeromycetes; Glomerales; Glomeraceae. The record is from RNAcentral.
AGCAGCCGCGGUAAUUCCAGCUCCAAUAGCGUAUAUUAAAGUUGUUGCAGUUAAAAAGCUCGUAGUUGAAUUUCGGGGUCAGUAGAUUGGUCGUGCCACUGGUAUGUACUGGUCUUACUGGCUCCUCCUUCCUGAUGAACCGUAAUGCCAUUAAUUUGGUGUUGCGGGGAGACUGGACUGUUACUUUGAAAAAUUAGAGUGUUUAAAGCAGGCUAACGCUUGAAUACAUUAGCAUGGAAUAAUGAAAUAGGACGUUCGAUCUUAUUUGUUGGUUUCUAAGAUUGACGUAAUGAUUAAUAGGGAUAGUUGGGGGCAUUAGUAUUCAAUUGUCAGAGGUGAAAUUCUUGGAUUUAUUGAGGACUAACUACUGCGAAAGCAUUUGCCAAGGAUGUUUUCAUUAAUCAAGAACGAAGUUAGGGGAUCGAAGACGAUCAGAUACCGUCGUAGUCUUAACCAUAAACUAUGCCGACUAGGGAUCGGAUGAUGUUAAUUUUUAAUGUACUCAUUCGCGCCUUAAC